This 305-nucleotide ribosomal RNA is filed under the name uncultured bacterium. RNAcentral's name for it is "bacterial SSU rRNA". It matches the Rfam family "Bacterial small subunit ribosomal RNA", at positions 335 to 659 of the family's 1533-position model. The record is from RNAcentral.
GUCCUACGGGGGGCAGCAGUGGGGGAUAUUGGACAAUGGGGGAAACCCUGAUCCAGCGAUGCCGCGUGAGGGAAGAAGGUUUUCGGAUUGUAAACCUCUGUGGAGGGGGACGAUAAUGACGGUACCCCUUUAGGAAGCCACGGCUAACUACGUGCCAGCAGCCGCGGUAAUACGGAGGAUGCGAGCGUUAUCCGGAUUUAUUGGGUUUAAAGGGUGCGCAGGCGGUCUGUUAAGUCAGCGGUCAAAGCCCGGGGCUCAACCCCGGCCCGCCGUUGAAACUGGCAGUCUCGAGUUGGAGAGAAGUA